RNAcentral lists this ribosomal RNA (253 nucleotides) under uncultured bacterium. Its description in RNAcentral is "partial 16S ribosomal RNA". It matches the Rfam family "Bacterial small subunit ribosomal RNA", at positions 524 to 776 of the family's 1533-position model. The record is from RNAcentral.
UACGAAGGGAGCUAGCGUUACUCGGAAUCACUGGGCGUAAAGCGCAUGUAGGCGGAAUUACAAGUCAGAGGUGAAAUCCCAAGGCUCAACCUUGGAAUUGCCUUUGAAACUGUUUUUCUUGAGUAUAACAGAGGAUGGUGGAAUUUCCAGUGUAGAGGUGAAAUUCGUAGAUAUUGGAAGGAACAUCGGUGGCGAAGGCGACCAUCUGGGUUAUUACUGACGCUGAGAUGCGAAAGCGUGGGGAGCAAACGGG